Peromyscus californicus insignis is the source of this 5524-nucleotide long non-coding RNA. RefSeq lists it as uncharacterized. The transcript is spliced from 7 exons. The record is from RefSeq and is a predicted model, not a curated record. Lineage: Eukaryota; Metazoa; Chordata; Mammalia; Rodentia; Cricetidae.
CUGGUUACCUGGGUGACUCAUCUGAACAUGGAAAUGUGGUCUGGAGCAGGAUGACUCUUUCCUGCCUUCCCUGGGGCCUCUCUUCUCAGAGCCACAGGAACUCAGCACGGUGGCACCCUGAGAUUUCCAUAUCUCUUUGGCCCCAUCUGCUCUCCUGCCUGCCAAAACUCUCCCCUGGAAACACAGACUCUGAGGGACAGCAUUCUUGACCCCUUGUCCUGGAGGAAGGCAGGCCAGGCCAGGUGAGAAUUGCUUCCAAACUUGGCAGGUGCCAACCUCAUUCUCACAAAGGACUGUGCAUUUAGCGGGUGCUGACUGAGAACCACAGGACCCACAGAGGAGUGCUCUCAACUUCAGAGUCCUGGAGUCCGUCUGGGGUUCGCUCACCACAAGAGCGUCCACAAGACCCCCAAAGCCAGUCGUCUGUACAGUUGUCCCUCAGUGCUGGUUCCAGAAGCUUCUUAGGCACCCAGAUCAAGGAUGUACAGUUUUCUUACAUGAAACCACACAGUAUUUGCCUACAACCCAGGCACAUCCUCCUCUACACUUUAAACCACCUCACACAAUUUGAAUAGUUAAACAGCUGCUGAAUCACCUAGAUGAUAAUUACAAGGAAAAGAUGCGUGUAUUCACUGUAGGUGCGUUCUCUGCACUUUCUUCCCCCUCCUCCUCCUCCUCUCCCUCCUCUUCCUCCUCAGUCUCUUUGUUUUCUGAAAAGACACAGGCUUGCCUGCCAUACUCAGAAAAACAACUGCCGUGCUUUAUGUUAUUUUAUUAAGCUUUAUUUUAGUUUUUAUUAUGUGUGCUUGUUGAGGUAAGGUGUGCAACCUGAGUGCAGGCGCUCACAGAGGCCAGAAGAUAGUGUUGAACUUCCUGAAGCUGGAGCUACAGGCGACUGUGAGUCUCUCAGUGUUGGGAACCGAACUCAAGUCCUCUGAAAAAACAGACCAGCAACUGCUUCACGUGACCAUGAAAGUGGAUGGUAAAUUGAGGAUGCGGGGCUGGAGGUAAAAGGCCCCUCCUCACCAGGAAGCAGGUGCCAGACCCCAGGAACCUCUGUGUUCACUGACCACAAGAGGACCAGGACAAGACAAGGUCAUCCCUGGGUAUCUCUGCAGUGAUGGCGGAGAUGCUGUGUGCUGCUCAGAGGGAAGGGACAGCUGCAUGCUGGGUGACACAGACUGUGGUCAGGCUUUCUGCCCCAGCAAGCGCUGCUGCUGCUGCUGUUGAAGAUGGAGGGUCAGGAGACAGGUGCUGCUGCCAGAGUCCACCCCCAAGCUACUGCAGGAGCUUUCUCCCUGGAGGAGGGAGACUCCUGAGACCAAGUUCUUGAUGUAAUCAGCACAAAACAGAAAAAGGUGAAGCCAUGAGCAGUUUGCAUGUUCUGAUCAGACUGAGGCCCAUGACAACCCAGCAUGCUGUUCAUUCUAGAAGAUGCCCUCCUUUGCUCUCGCCCUGUCCUGUGUUUGGCACCUGUGCCCUAGCGAGAUGUGUGUCUCCCAAGAAGACAUGUGUCCAGCCUAGUGCACCACAGAGAGUAAAUAUUUGCCAAAUCAGUGGUUCUUCGGGUCAGCUGUAGAAAUGCUCUGAUGACCACAUCCUGGAGGCGGGGCACCAGGAGUCCAAGACCAUCUUUGACUAUAGAGAGAGUGUGAAGCCAGCCUGGACUGCAUGAGACACCGCCUCAGACAAACAAACAAAGCCCUUGAUGUGUGCUGCUCUGACCAUCAAGAAACAGAAGCAGAACUCUCAUCCACUCUCCCUUCAAUCGGAGCUAGCCUUGCCUUGCUUGGAGCAACAGAAGGAGACAAAAGUGGCAUGUGAUUUCCAAGCUGAAAACCUUUCUGCUUUGGAAAUCCUGAGCCACAGGUGAAGUGAUGACAUAGGUUGAACCCUGUGGCCCCAACUCUCGGGACCAGGCUGCUCCCUGACCCAGGUUACUCCACACUGUGAAAACAAAGGUUUUUCAGGUUGUAUUUUGCCCAGGGAGACUUCAUUUGACAACACACAGAUAAACCCUACUAGAAUCUCUUUUUGUUAUGGACCCUGGUAGUGUUACUGGGAUUUUCCUCUGUAACCCCCUCAUUCCCCAGGCCUGUGAGCUCCACGGAAAGAAUUUGGAAGAGAAACAGAGUGUGAUGUAGAAGAUAGCCAGGGUUUACUGCAGAGGGUAGGUCAGCAUAUCCUCAAGGGGUCAGAGUGGACAGUGACCAAAAGGACCAUUGUGGAACAGAACACUUCCAUGUGUGUGAGUAGACAAUCACAUAUGGAUCGGCCCUUACAUAGGCUUGAUACUGCUAGUUUCUUGUUGUUUGUUUGUUUGUUUUUGUUUUUUGAGACAGGGUUUCUCUGUGUACCUCUGGCUGUCCUGAAACUCACUCUGCAGACCAGUCUGACCUUGAACUCAUAGAGAUCUGCCUGCUUCUGCCUCCAGAGUGCUAGGAUUAAAGGCAUGUGCCACCUCCACCCCCCCCCCCCCAGUGAUACAUUUCUUAAAGUAUCUAGAACAGACAUCCCCUGAGGGGCAUUAUCCUUUCUAGAAGAUUGACAGGCCCAUUUGGAUUAACUCAUGGUUAGGGAUAAUGGUAUAUCUUGCAGCUAUGCAGUAGUCUUAAAGCUUUCUGGACAAUUUCCAAUAUCACGCCUCCACCUAGGACCAGGGAUAAAACUCAGACACUCAUCAGAGUCCUACAGUUUCACUUCCUGGUUCCACAAUGGUUGACAUAAGUGAAGGGUCCAACCUCAAUGACCUUCAAGCCUGUUAAUAUCUCACUUGCUACCAAACAACCCCUGACCAAGAGUUGGGAUCCUAAUAUUAUUUAGGACAUAGACAAGUCACUCUAGCUACUUCCCACUGAAGCAGGGUCUCCACUGUUGCUAACUUUCAGGCCUUGGAAGAUGAUAAGAAAGGCCCAGAUAGAUAGAAUUAGAAAGCUACAGUACUAUCCAAGGGUAGAUUAAUGGUUAAGAAAAAGAGAUACAAUUAAAAAGCAGUUAAGCAUGCAAAGUUCCAAGACUGACAGGAUCGCCACUAAGUCCAGCCCAUUUCCACCACGAAAAUCCGAGGCCCAGUUCUAAAGCAACACAUCUGAGGGAAUGGCAGUUCCUGACACGGCUUGGAUCUGAUUUUGCAGAUCAUGGGAAGCAGAAGACAUCAGCAGAAUCAUCAGGAAUAUACACAGAGCGUCUGUUGUGGUUUGAAUGGAAAAUGGCCCCCAUAGACUCACGUGUUUGAAUCCUCGUGUUUUUCCUUUGGUGGUGCAGUUUGGGAAGGUUAUGAAAUCUUCAGGAGACAGAGCCUUGCUAGAGGAAACACAUCACUGGGGGCAGGAGGGUUUGUAGCCUCAGUCCACUUCCUGACAUUCCCCCUCCCCCACCCCACCCCACUUCCCGUAUGGAUAGGAUGUAAUGAAACAAUUCCUGAUUCUGCUACCAUGCCAUGCCUUCCUGGUCAAUAUGUUCUCUCCCUCUAGAGCCACAAGCCAAAAUAAACUUUCUGUUACUUUUAGUUGUGGUAUUUUAUCACAGCAAUAGAAAAGUAACGGAUACGGCAUUUAACCCUGAUCAAAUGACAUCUUCUAAUCCUACAGAUAUGAUAAAAAUGGAAGCUAGAUGACCGUGCCAACAGAGAAUACUUUGAGUUCACUAACAGAUUAGCAGCAUGACCUGGCAGUUUUAUCUUGGAUGUAUAAAAAGGCAGAAACAGAAGCCUGGCUGGAAACCCAUACAAACGGCCAAGGGUGGCUUUGAAAUAAGACAGAAGGCAACCAGCGUUUUUAUUUUUCCUCUCAUCUGAAUAGCUUUGUGAGAAGGCACUGUCUAUCACAAUAGUUCCAUGGAGGACCCAGAAAUAAAUGACCCCCCGGGAAGACUCAAAGAUGUACAGGUGGGAAACGUUCAAAGAAACAAAGAGCAUCGUCCAGUCAUCCCUUCACUUACUUACUUAGUAAACAUUUUAUCAAAGGGCUGGAGAGAUGGCUCAGCUGUAUAAGGCUAGACUCACAACCAAAAAUGAUCAAGUAUCAAACUUCACAGACUACAUUAGACUCUGGAGUAGACAGGGACCAAGGAUGAAUUUCCCUGCCCGCCUCCGAGGUCAGAGUCUGGCGGAAGUCUUGGGAUCCAUCUGACUUUUUCAAAAGUAUUGAACCACACGUCAUGACACAGAGACACCCUGAGAAAAUGAAGAGAAAUGAGGUUGGUAUUGUAAACAAGCUCACGCUGUAGGAAGAAGCCAUACACAGCCGGGGCGUGGGAGGGGAGACAGUGUUAUAGAGAACGCAGAGACGUGAACACAGUGGGUAAGUGCUGGAGAGGUGAAUGAUGAGAGGGUGGAGUUAGAGGAGAGGGCGGAGUUAGAGGAGGGGUGGAGUUAGAGGAGGGGCGGAGUUAGAGGAGAGGGCGGAGUUAGAGGAGGGGUGGAGUUAGAGGAGGGGCGGAGUUAGAGGAGAGAGUGGAGUUAGAGGAGAGGGUAGAGUUAGAGGAGGGGCGGAGUUAGAGGAGAGGGCGGAGUUAGAGGAGGGGUGGAGUUAGAGGAGAGGGCAGAGUUAGAAGAGGGGUGGAGUUAGAGGAGAGGGCGGAGUUAGAGGAGAGGGUGGAGUUAGAGGAGAGGGUGGAGUUAGAGGAGAGGGCGGAGUUAGAGGAGAGGGUGGAGUUAGAGGAGAGGGCGGAGUUAGAGGAGGGGUGGAGUUAGAGGAGGGGCGGAGUUAGAGGAGAGGGUGGAGUUAGAGGAGGGGCGGAGUUAGAGGAGAGGGUGGAGUUAGAGGAGGGGCGGAGUUAGAGGAGAGGGCAGAGUUAGAGGAGAGGGCGGAGUUAGAGGAGGGGUGGAGUUAGAGGAGAGGGCGGAGUUAGAGGAGAGGGUGGAGUUAGAGGAGGGGCGGAGUUAGAGGAGAGGGUGGAGUUAGAGGAGGGGCGGAGUUAGAGGAGAGGGUGGAGUUAGAGGAGGGGCGGAGUUAGAGGAGAGGGCAGAGUUAGAGGAGAGGGUGGAGUUAGAGGAGGGGUGGAGUUAGAGGAGAGGGUAGAGUUAGAGGAGAGGGCGGAGUUAGAGGAGGGGUGGAGUUAGAGGAGAGGGCGGAGUUAGAGGAGAGGGCGGAGUUAGAGGAGAGGGUGGAGUUAGAGGAGAGUGAGAUCUCACUCCCAGGGAUGCUGAGGAUGGCUGGAUGAACCCGAAUCUACAUGUUUCAGUGGAGUAGUCUGGAGACAGCAGAGAUGAGGCACCCCAGCUGCUACUUCUUGUCCUGAAUGGCAGAUACCAUUAAUCAACCACCUCUUGCUGAAGCUGGUUCUUCUUCAACCCCUUGCUCCAGGCAGCCAUGGCAAUGCGAUCAGAGUUUGCACACACGACGAAGCCAAUCUGCCAUUUCUGGAAUAGUCGCUGUCUCUCCUGAGGACAACAGACAAAAAUAUUCAGCUGGCACCAGUCAACCAACUUCCAAGUGGAUCAAGAUGAGAAAACAGGUCCAACGGAGCUUGGCCAAGUGUAGGAAUGUCACAGCUUUUCUAUGCAGAUAGGGACAGAGCCUGU